UAAUACGAAGGGUGCAAGCGUUACUCGGAAUUACUGGGCGUAAAGCGCACGCAGGCGGUUUGUUAAGUCAGAUGUGAAAUCCCCGGGCUCAACCUGGGAACUGCAUUUGAAACUGGCAAGCUAGAGUCUCGUAGAGGGGGGUAGAAUUCCAGGUGUAGCGGUGAAAUGCGUAGAGAUCUGGAGGAAUACCGGUGGCGAAGGCGGCCCCCUGGACGAAGACUGACGCUCAGGUGCGAAAGCGUGGGGAGCAAACAGGAUUAGAUACCCUGGUAGUCCACGCUGUAAACGAUGUCGAUUUGGAGGUUGUGCCCUUGAGGCGUGGCUUCCGGAGCUAACGCGUUAAAUCGACCGCCUGGGGAGUACGGCCGCAAGGUUA
This 376-nucleotide ribosomal RNA is filed under the name uncultured Serratia sp. RNAcentral describes it as "bacterial SSU rRNA". It matches the Rfam family "Bacterial small subunit ribosomal RNA", at positions 521 to 896 of the family's 1533-position model. The record is from RNAcentral. Lineage: Bacteria; Pseudomonadati; Pseudomonadota; Gammaproteobacteria; Enterobacterales; Yersiniaceae.